RNAcentral lists this long non-coding RNA (1295 nucleotides) under Gossypium raimondii (Peruvian cotton). Its description in RNAcentral is "long non-coding RNA (GRAI_LNC006949)". The record is from RNAcentral. Lineage: Eukaryota; Viridiplantae; Streptophyta; Magnoliopsida; Malvales; Malvaceae.
UUUUAGAUUUUUUUUUAAAAAUUAUAUAAUUCAAGAUUAAAUUGAAAAAAAUUACGAAAUGUAAGGAUCAAAUAUUGUUUUAUUUCUUAAAAAAUUAAAAAAUACAAAAUCUAUUUAUCCAAUAUGAUGCAUAAAUAAACGCUACCGCUAUUAUCAAAAUAAAAUAACCCCACCCUAGGCCCAAUUGUGAAUGAACCAUUGCGUUGACUCUUCUCGUAGCGGUUCUUGAAAGCUUUGGCUAAGCCAGGUAAAAUUUCCACCAUUCCCUGCUUUUCUUUUCCCUGUAAAUUAUGUUACUUUCUGUUUGAUUCUCUUGUAAAUUUUCCACCAUUCUAUGCUCUACCUUUUUCAUGUCAGGACUUGCCGACCAACAAGUUACUACUGUUUCUUUGGAUAAACCGGUAUUAUUCUCUCUUGAUACUUACCACCUCCUCAAUAAAAAUCUUCUAUCUGGUUUAACAAAACUAGCUUUAAAAUAAACUAUUUUUAUGUCUGGUUUAGUAAGGCUGAUUAAUUCUGUUGCAAUUAAAAAAUUAGUUAUCUUAGCAUUCUUCAAUCUAAAUGGAAAAUCAUGUAGCAAUCUUAGAGCUCUCACUCUGAUAGCAAUUUGAGAAUUUUCUCAAUUACAUAAAUAUGCAAUUUUCAAGUGGAUGAUAUAUGUAGAAAAGCAGAAUUUAGCAAAGUGAACUGAGUUUUCGUUUUAGAACUAAUCUGCAAGUGAACCUUAAGAACUUUUGAUCAUGCACAUUUAAGUUCAACCAUUGAGAACAGGCUCUCAAAUUAUACAAGAACUUCAGGUUCCAUCCUGGGAAAAUUUUUCCCUUUGGUAGUGUACUGAAAUUUUAUCUGUGCAUUCAUUCUUAGAUCUUCUUGUUCAUACUUCGGUUAAUUUUGGCUCUUUCAAUCAAAUUUAUUGUCCAAAGUUGGGAAGAAACUCCCUUCAUCAAUGUAUGGCAACCUCCAUGGAUUCCUCGAUAGCGGAUCAAUUUGUUUUUACAUAGAAUUGUUGUGCAGAAGCCUCUGAGGAAGAAACCAUAUGGAAAGAAAGAAAGAAAAAAAAUAAUUCCGUCACAGUGACUGAGAGAACAGAAUUUGCUGAUUGAAUGUCACGAUCCGGUUCUAAAAAAAAGCGAAAGAGAGAGGAUUUAAACAUCCUUAGUGGGAGUACUAGGCCUAGAAGGAAGGGAAUCGAGAUAGAUACCGAGAACAUGGAGCAAAGAGCUGACAGUGUGGAUUAUAUCUCACAAUUGCCUGAUCAUAUUAUCCAUCAGAUCAUGGGUCGCCUGCGUUGUAAC